RNAcentral lists this ribosomal RNA (505 nucleotides) under uncultured bacterium. RNAcentral describes it as "partial 16S ribosomal RNA". It matches the Rfam family "Bacterial small subunit ribosomal RNA", at positions 28 to 507 of the family's 1533-position model. The record is from RNAcentral.
GACGAACGCUGGCGGCGUGCCUAAUACAUGCAAGUCGAACGCACAGUUUAUACCGUAGCUUGCUACACCAUAGACUGUGAGUUGCGAACGGGUGAGUAACGCGUAGGUAACCUGCCUGGUAGCGGGGGAUAACUAUUGGAAACGAUAGCUAAUACCGCAUAAUAUUGAUUAUUGCAUGAUAAUUAAUUGAAAUGUGCAAUUGCACCACUACCAGAUGGACCUGCGUUGUAGUAGCUAGUAGGUGAGGUAACGGCUCACCUAGGCGACGAUACAUAGCCGACCUGGGAGGGUGGUCGGCCACACUGGGGCUGGGACACGGCCCAAACUCCUACGGGAGGCAGCAGAAGGGAAUCUGCGGCAAUGGACGGAAGUCUGACCGAGAAACGCCGGGUGAGUGAAGAAGGUUUUCGGAUCGUAAAGCUAUGUUGUAAGAGAAGAACGGGGGUGAGGGUGGAAAGUUCACACUGUGACGGUAUCUUACCAGAAAGGGACGGCUAACUACGUG